CCUACGGGAGGCAGCAGUGAGGAAUAUUGGUCAAUGGACGAGAGUCUGAACCAGCCAAGUAGCGUGAAGGAUGACUGCCCUAUGGGUUGUAAACUUCUUUUAUAUGGGAAUAAAACGUUCCACGUGUGGGAUUUUGUAUGUACCAUAUGAAUAAGGAUCGGCUAACUCCGUGCCAGCAGCCGCGGUAAUACGGAGGAUCCGAGCGUUAUCCGGAUUUAUUGGGUUUAAAGGGAGCGUAGGUGGAUUGUUAAGUCAAUUGUGAAAGUUUGCGGCUCAACCGUAAAAUUGCAGUUGAAACUGGCAGUCUUGAGUACAGUAGAGGUGGGCGGAAUUCGUGGUGUAGCGGUGAAAUGCUUAGAUAUCACGAAGAACUCCGAUUGCGAAGGCAGUUCACUGGACUGCAACUGACACUGAGGCUCGAAAGUGUGGGUAUCAAACAGGAUUAGAUACCCUUGUAGUC
RNAcentral lists this ribosomal RNA (460 nucleotides) under uncultured bacterium. RNAcentral describes it as "partial 16S ribosomal RNA". It matches the Rfam family "Bacterial small subunit ribosomal RNA", at positions 338 to 795 of the family's 1533-position model. The record is from RNAcentral.